This 253-nucleotide ribosomal RNA is filed under the name uncultured bacterium. RNAcentral's name for it is "partial 16S ribosomal RNA". It matches the Rfam family "Bacterial small subunit ribosomal RNA", at positions 524 to 776 of the family's 1533-position model. The record is from RNAcentral.
UACAGAGACUGCAAGCGUUAUUCGGAUUCACUGGGCGUAAAGGGUGCGCAGGCGGCCAAGUGUGUGAGGCGUGAAAGCCCGGGGCUUAACCCCGGAAUUGCGCCUCAAACUACAUGGCUAGAGCAUUGGAGAGGGUAGCAGAAUUCAUGGUGUAGCAGUGAAAUGCGUAGAUAUCAUGAGGAAUACCAGAGGCGAAGGCGGCGUCCUGGCUCACAACUGACGCUCAUACACGACAGCAUGGGGAGCGAACGGG